Molecule: ribosomal RNA, 467 nt
Filed under: uncultured bacterium
Lineage: Bacteria
Description: partial 16S ribosomal RNA
Rfam family: Bacterial small subunit ribosomal RNA
Source: RNAcentral
GACGAACGCUGGCGGCGUGCUUAACACAUGCAAGUCGAACGGAAAGGCCCUGCUUUUGUGGGGUGCUCGAGUGGCGAACGGGUGAGUAACACGUGAGUAACCUGCCCUUGACUUUGGGAUAACUUCAGGAAACUGGGGCUAAUACCGGAUAGGAGCUCCUGCUGCAUGGUGGGGGUUGGAAAGUUUCGGCGGUUGGGGAUGGACUCGCGGCUUAUCAGCUUGUUGGUGGGGUAGUGGCUUACCAAGGCUUUGACGGGUAGCCGGCCUGAGAGGGUGACCGGCCACAUUGGGACUGGAAAACGGCCCAGACUCCUACGGGGGGCAGGAGGGGGGAAUAUGGCACAAGGGGGGGAAGCCUGAUGCAACAACGCCGGGUGCGGGAUGACGGCCUUCGGGUUGUAAAACGCUUUCGCCUGGGACGAAGGGUGAGGGAGGGUAAUGGGGAAAGAAGCACCGGCUAACUACGG